This 319-nucleotide ribosomal RNA is filed under the name uncultured eukaryote. RNAcentral describes it as "partial 18S ribosomal RNA". It matches the Rfam family "Eukaryotic small subunit ribosomal RNA", at positions 1470 to 1796 of the family's 1831-position model. The record is from RNAcentral.
CCCUUAGAUGUUCUGGGCAGCACGCGCGCUACAAUGGUCUUCGCAAACGGAUGCAUUCUCGAAGGAGAAUGCCAAUCUUGGAAUCUAUGCCUUGGUCGGGACAGUUGCUUGCAAUUUUUCGACUCGAACCAGGAAUUCCUUGUAAUCGUGAUUCAUCACAUCACGAUGAAUACGUACCUGCCCUUUGUACACACCGCCCGUCGCUCCUACCGAUCGAAGAGUUAGGUGAAUUGUUUUGAUCGAUAAGAUUUGACUAUGGUCAACUCUCGUUGUGAAAUUCUGUGAAUCUGACUGUUUAGAGGAAGGAAAAGUCGUAACA